RNAcentral lists this ribosomal RNA (253 nucleotides) under uncultured bacterium. Its description in RNAcentral is "partial 16S ribosomal RNA". It matches the Rfam family "Bacterial small subunit ribosomal RNA", at positions 524 to 776 of the family's 1533-position model. The record is from RNAcentral.
UACGUAGGGCGCAAGCGUUGUCCGGAAUUAUUGGGCGUAAAGAGCUCGUAGGCGGCUUGUCACGUCGGGUGUGAAAGCCCGGGGCUUAACCCCGGGUCUGCAUUCGAUACGGGCAGGCUAGAGUGUGGUAGGGGGGAUCGGAAUUCCUGGUGUAGCGGUGAAAUGCGCAGAUAUCAGGAGGAACACCGGUGGCGAAGGCGGAUCUCUGGGCCAUUACUGACGCUGAGGAGCGAAAGCGUGGGGAGCGAACAGG